CCUACGGGUGGCUGCAGUGGGGAAUAUUGCACAAUGGGGGAAACCCUGAUGCAGCAACGCCGCGUGAGUGAUGACGGCCUUCGGGUGGUAAAGCUCGGUCUGCAGGGACGAGAAUGACGGUACCUGAGGAGGAAGCCACGGCUAACGACGUGCCAGCAGCCGCGGUAAUACGGAGGUGGCGAGCGUUGUCCGGAUUUACUGGGCGUAAAGGGAGCGUAGGCGGACUUUGAAGUGAGCUGUGAAAUACUCGGGCUCAACGUGAGUGCUGCAUUUCAAACUGGCAGUCUAGAGUGCAGGAGAGGUGACUGGACUUCCUCGUGUAGCGGUGACAUGCGU
This 336-nucleotide ribosomal RNA is filed under the name uncultured bacterium. RNAcentral describes it as "partial 16S ribosomal RNA". It matches the Rfam family "Bacterial small subunit ribosomal RNA", at positions 338 to 691 of the family's 1533-position model. The record is from RNAcentral.